UGAACUAGCGGAUUCAUAUCCUGUAAUUAUAUUAAUUGUAUUAAGAUUAUUUCCAGAAAUUGAUAUUGAAAUUUUCUAUCAACAAAAAACAAUACUAAAAAAAGCAAAUUUAUUAAUUAUUUAAAAAAAUUUCUACAUAAACGAAAUUGUCGACAAAAAUAUAGAUGCCAAUUUCUCGUAAAUAUAACUUACCAAAAUUAAGAUGCAUCCAUAGUUUCAAAUAAAAAGAGGUGCUUAAAGGGGCUUGGCCUCCAAAAAUGCACCCAUGUUCCUCAAAUCAAAUUUAAUUAAGUACAUAUAAAGUGUAUAUAAACAAUAUUUUGUGAUGCUAAGCUUCUUUUAUUUAUAUAUUUGGUCCAUUCACACUUAUUAUAGAUACAUCUUAAUAGUUUAAAGCUUUUCACUGUCUGUUUAAUGUAUUAUUUUUAGAGGUCUACUCGAAAUAAUAUUAUAUUCCAAUAAUCUGUGUUUCUAUAAAAAUAGAUUUGAUUUUUU
Molecule: non-coding RNA, 495 nt
Organism: Cinara cedri
Lineage: Eukaryota; Metazoa; Arthropoda; Insecta; Hemiptera; Aphididae
Source: the annotation of a GenBank genome assembly